GCACAAGCAGCGGAGCGUGUGGUUUAAUUCGAUGCUACACGAAGAACCUUACCAGGGUUUGACAUGCAAGUGGUAGGAAACUGAAAGGGACCGACCCUUCGGGAGCUUGCACAGGUGCUGCAUGGCUGUCGUCAGCUCGUGUCGUGAGAUGUUCGGUUAAGUCCGCUAACGAGCGCAACCCUCACUGUGUGUUAUAUGUGUCACACGGGACUGCCGGUUUUAAGCCGGAGGAAGGUGGGAUGACGUCAAGUCAUCAUGGCCCUUAUGUCCAGGGCGACACACGUGCUACAAUGGCCGGCACAGCGGGAAGCGAGGGGGCGACCUUGAGCGGAUCCCUCAAAGCCGGUCUCAGUUCGGAUUGCAGUCUGCAACUCGACUGCAUGAAGUUGGAAUCGCUAGUAAUCGUGGAUCAGCCAAGCCGCGGUGAAUACGUUCCCGGGCCUU
This 444-nucleotide ribosomal RNA is filed under the name uncultured Bellilinea sp. Its description in RNAcentral is "bacterial SSU rRNA". It matches the Rfam family "Bacterial small subunit ribosomal RNA", at positions 923 to 1382 of the family's 1533-position model. The record is from RNAcentral. Lineage: Bacteria; Bacillati; Chloroflexota; Anaerolineae; Anaerolineales; Anaerolineaceae.